AUUGAACGUUGGCGGCAUGCCUUACACAUGCAAGUCGAACGGUAACAGGUCUUCGGAUGCUGACGAGUGGCGAACGGGUGGGUAAUACAUCGGAACGUGCCCGAUCGUGGGGGAUAACGAAGCGAAAGCUUUGCUAAUACCGCAUAAGAUCUAAGGAUGAAAGCAGGGGACCGCAAGGCCUUGCGCGAACGGAGCGGCCGAUGGCAGAUUAGGUAGUUGGUGGGAUAAAGGCCUACCAAGCCGACGAUCUGUAGCUGGUCUGAGAGGACGACCAGCCACACUGGGACUGAGACACGGCCCAGACUCCUACGGGAGGCAGCAGUGGGGAAUUUUGGACAAUGGGCGAAAGCCUGAUCCAGCAAUGCCGCGUGCAGGAUGAAGGCCUUCGGGUUGUAAACUGCUUUUGUACGGAGCGAAAAGGUUUCCUCUAAUACAGGGGGCUGAUGACGGUACCGUAAGAAUAAGCACCGGCUAACUACGUGCCAGCCGCCGCCGUAA
This 498-nucleotide ribosomal RNA is filed under the name uncultured bacterium. RNAcentral's name for it is "partial 16S ribosomal RNA". It matches the Rfam family "Bacterial small subunit ribosomal RNA", at positions 30 to 523 of the family's 1533-position model. The record is from RNAcentral.